This is a long non-coding RNA of Panthera uncia (snow leopard), 23076 nucleotides long. RefSeq lists it as uncharacterized. The transcript is spliced from 6 exons. The record is from RefSeq and is a predicted model, not a curated record. Lineage: Eukaryota; Metazoa; Chordata; Mammalia; Carnivora; Felidae.
CAGUGCAGAGCCUGCCCCUUGUGGGGCUCGAACUCACCAACCGAGAGAUCAAGACCUGAGCUGAAAUUCAGAGUCUGACACUCAACCCACUGAGCCACCCCGGUGCCCCUAAUCAAAUAAUUUUGAUCUUAAACAAGUUAAACAUGUUUGUGUACCCAUUUCUUUACUUAUGUGUAUAUGCAUAAAUUGUGCCCUAUCUUUUUUAAAAAACACCACAACCAAAAAUACUGGAUGGUAUUUUUGUGAAAUAUUUGUUUGCUUAUUAAACCUAUAUCAAUUUAAUUAUAAUGGAAGUAUAUAUGUACUAACAGAAUAAGAAAGAGAUGAAAUAAGUAGAAUUUGUCCAAUGAAGAUUAACAUUGAUAAAGCAGAAUGCUCAGUUUCAAUUGCACAAAAUCUUUCAAUUGUCUUAGACUGUAGUAUUAUUCAUAUAAAGAGAAAAGGGAAGAAAAUGUCUAUUUGUGUCAGCCAGGGAAGUAAGAACUUUCCAUACAUUACUUACUUUUGAUUUUUAAAUUACAUUUACUUUUUACUUCUAUUUCUUACAAACCUUAAUGAUGAGGACUAAUAUAUACCACUUAGUAUGUAAAUCGCCCAUAUAUUUUAAACUAUUAUCCAUUUUAUACUUACUGACAAAAUUUUGGAGUACUGAAUUUGACGAUAUUAAUAACCUUUAACGUUUUGUAGGGGGCGCCGGAGGCUCAGGUGAAAGAGCAUGUGACUCCUGAUCUCCAGAUUGUGAGUUUGAGGCCCACGUUGGGUGUAAAUGAAAAAUAAAUAAACUUAAAAUUCUGUUAAUAACAAAACAUAUGGCAAAUUCAAAAAGGAAGAAAGCAGGGAAAGAUUAUUCACAUCUCUCGAUAAUCCUUCUGUUCUGCAACCUAUUUUCUGACAAGAGUUGCCUAUAUAGUAGUUCCCCUCUUAUCCGCAGUUUCGCUAUCUGUGAUUUCAUUUUCCCCACGGCAAACCGCGGGGAGGAAGCAGAUGAUCCUGACGAAUCAUCAGAAGGUGAAUAGUAGACUAGCUACGUCACAGCGCCUGCGUCACUCACCUCUCUUCAUCCCAUUACGUAGGCAGUUUCACAUCUCACAACGUCACAAGAAGGCUUUCACUGCAUCUUUGGUGGAACAGUGUGACCUGAAGCUCUUCACAGCAGAUAUCAUCAUGUAAUACUUACUCUUUCGUGGUCCUCCAUGGAGUAAGAGAAGUAUCUCUUCCCAGUGAUUCCUCAGUUUUCCUUUUCUUCUGAUAUCUAGAUUCUGACAAGAUAUUUGAGUUGGGGCAAGCCAACACUGUUUCUUGAGCUUAGCACCUCAUUGCUGAUCAACCGUGAACGAUCACAUUCAUCAAAAUUACUCCACGGAGGUGAAGGCUCCAUGGACCACCUGAUCAGUGUGCAUCCAAGGACCUGGGCACCUACCUUUCUCUACGCUACUGUUUCCACCUGGAGGAUGUGGAUGUUGAGAGCAUGGGCCAUUUUUUUCCGCCAGAGGGUGCCACGUGUCCCUUGACCUUAACAAACCAGCUCCGUGGCUGUGCUCUCUUUCAGGACAGUCAGAAACCGCGGACAUCAUGGAAGCCACCAUGGCCCUGGACGGAGAAGGACCUGAAGCUGCAUGUACUGAACUGUGCAUGUCCUGCCUGUCCCCGGGCAGACCCCCAUCUCUGUGACUUCCUGGAGAACCACUUCCUGGAUGAGGAGAGGAAACUGUUCAAGAAGAGGGGCAACAACUUGACUGUGCAGGCUGGCUGGCCUCCAGGCGGGGCUGGGUGAGUGUCUCUUGGAAAGGCUCACCCUCAGUCGCCACUGGGAACCUCUGGAGCCCCACGGUGUCAGGGCUUUUGCCUGAGCCUAUCCCUGCAGUCACUAGGAGGCUUUUCAACCACUCUGGAACCUUCUUCAAAGCUGCGGACCAAAUGGAGACAAUAAAAUUUUGUGCAGAAAAAAAGAAAAAUUCUGGCUUAUUGGUGGAUUGUUGCAGUUGAAACCCGCAUUAUUCAAGGGCCAACUUAUAUUUGUUUAUAUGUCUCAUUUGAACUCGUUGAAGGCAAGAACUAUCUUCAAUUACUAGUGUGGGUGCAGGGUAAUUUGAGUCCAUAAUUGAGAUAUGCGUUGAGUUGGUCAGAGUGGACAGAAAAGGUGGGUAAAGGAGACCUGAUGAAGAAACGAUUAAUUAUGCUCCAAUGAUUGAAGCUGGCACUGGAGAAGCAAAGUGAAUAGUAGAGAUGAUUCUAGGAUUUUAAGAGCUUGGGGAGCUGAGAAAACAAUGACUAUUAAAAAAUGUUUUUUUAAUUAACUUAUUUUGAGAGAGAGAGAGUGUGCACACAUGCGUGAGAGCGAGGUGGGAGGGACAAAGAGAGAAGGAGAGAGAAUCCCAAGCAGACUUUUUGCUGUCCGGGCAUAGCCUGACACGGGGCUCGAUCCUACCAAUAGUGAGACCAUGACCCCAGUGGAAAUCCAGAGCCAGGAGCUUAACCGGCUGAGCCACCCAGGUGCCCCUAAAAGGAUGACACUAUUAACAGAAGAAAGGACAUCAGCAAAGAAUGAGUUUUGGAGAUGAAAUGGAAAUACAUGUUAUACAUUAAAUGUGACACAAGAGAUAUGAAUUAUGCAGUCAACUCGGUAUGUGCUGAUGAGCACAAAGCCCAAGGCACGUUCCGUCGAGUUUCUAUGAAGAUCCAUAAUGAGUUUCAAGUACAUCAUUUCCUGAUGGAGGAUAAGAAAACAUCCAUCAAUGCAAAUUUUUGCACAUUUUUUCAGCUUUUAUGAAUACUUUACAACUUCUAAAAAGAGUGAAUUUCGAAAGUGCAACUUGAGCAAAUUCUAUGAGUAAUUUUAUAUUCUACUGUUUAGGCUCAGUGGAAGCUUCGAAGUGAAAAUACAGUACAGAGAUUUAAAAAAAAUAUAUAUAUAACCAUAAUGAGGAUGGAGGAAAUGGGAAAAAGUAGAAUAUGUCAGUGCUGGAAAGCAGAUGGUUGAGUGAUAAUUGAUUUGACAGACCCGAAAAAGCCAACCCUUGAAAUGUGGAAAGCUCAGACCCAAUGAGAUGUAGAAUCUUUGAAAGUUCAGACAUGUUCAGAACCAGGAAGCUAGCCUGAACAGAAUGAGACCAUGCUGACACCUUCAUCUUGAACUUUUAGGCUUCAGAACUGUGAGCAAUAAACUUCUCUUGUUUAUAAUCCACCCAGUGUCUGACAUUUUGUAUAGCAGCCCAAACAGACUAAGACAGCAUCAAUUUUCCCCCAUUUUUUUAUUAGAGUCUCUGUAAUUUUUUUUUUGUGUGUAAAUUUUUUUAAAAAUAUUCUGGAUAUGAGCGUUUUAAAAAAGUUAUUUGUGUUAUAAAUGCCUUCCCCAACUUCAUGGUGGGUUUUUACACUCCUAACAGAAUAGAAUUUUUUUAAUGAAUGUAUUUUCUUUAAUUGAUGUCAUUGAUCAAAUUUCAUUUAACACUGGUAUUUUUGUGUUCUAUUUAAAAGAAAUUUUCCCCCAGUUCAAAAUCUUGAAAAUACUCCACCUUUCAUUUUAAACACUUGUUUUGCUCUUGAAAUUUGUCUAUAAUCAUUUGAAAUUAUGUUUUAAAACAUAUAUGCUUAGCUGUUAAGCUAGCUGUCAAGUUUUGAUUGUUCUCCAUAUGAAAUUUAAUUGAUCCAGAACCAUUAACUGAAGACACCAGUCUUUCCACACUGCUCUGCAAUGCUAAUUUUCUAAGUAUCCAUUUAUAUAUAUGUGUGUGUGUGUGUCGGGGGGGCGGUUUCUGUUCGAUUGGCCUGUUGUCUACCCUUGGACCAGUACCACACUGCCUUCAUACUACUGCAUGAUAAGUCUCACUACCUGGUAGGACAAGUUACCUCCUCUUGUGUUCCAUUCCUGCCACCUGGGUAAGCUGAGGGUGCUCAUUUCACUGCCUGUCCAGUUAUGAUCUACUCCUCUUCUGAGAACUGGAAGUAGGCCAUGACUAACUGGGAAAGGGAAAUAACUGCCUCCCACCCACAUUCUUGCUUGAUGUACAGUACUAGGCCCAUGCUACAUCUUUGCAAGAGAUCCUAAAUGUGAUGAAGUCCUUUUCUCCCCAGAUCUUACAGCCUUGCCCAAGAUUUCCCCAGGAAGGUUCUUGUAAACUCUCAGGGGAACUAAAGUCAGGGCAUGACCUAGAGUCUUUCCACUUAUCCUCUCCUCAGAAACCAUAGUCGUAUUAAUAGUGCUCUUUCCUGGUGUAGCUGGCUUGAGCUUCCUACUCAGUUUUUAUAAUCAUUACCUGGUGAAUUUUUUUUUCAACUGUUUGUUUUUCCUGUUCCUUUUCUUCUUACUCUUCCUCGUCCUCCUCCUCGUCCUCCUCCUCCACCUCCACUUCCAUCCUCCUCCUCCUCCUCCUCCCCCUCCUCCUCCUCCUCCUCCUUCUUCUUCUGUUAUCUGUGUAUAGAUACUGUUCGUGUUUCAUUAUUAUAAUUAUGAUGAUUAAUCUUUAAAUGAGAUGGAUUCUUUCUGGACCAGCUCUUUGCAAAUUUGUGAACAGUCCAGGGCAGUUUUCUGGGCUAUCAUUACUCUCCCUGGUUAUUAUGAAAUUUCCUUAUGGCACAAGUUCAUACCGCUGAAUGAGUUCUUUUAAAUUUAUUUUUCCCUCAUUGAAGGAGAUCUGCAGAUGCAUGGUUGCUCACUAUCCGGAGCCCCUCUCCUCAUAGUUUACUUCCUGGCAGUUGGUCUUCAGCGGUGACCAAGUGUCUAAACAUUCUUUGUUCAGCUCCAGAUUUUUGCUUUUCCACUUUGCUGGAUGUGAUUCUAGGAAGCUCCUUCCACCUAAGUUUGUCAUUCAAGAAAAGGGAUUGUUGGAUUCACUUUUAAGCCUUGAUCACUUGCUUUGGUAACUGUGCUCUGUAGGUUUUCUCCCAAACCUGCAGCCACAGAUGUCUCUUCCUGAUAUCUUCCCACAUGUCUGUUAGAUCUUUGCUGACUUUCCCCAUAUGGUGUAGCUUGGGGUUACAGCAUCUCACUGUCUCACCAGUGAUGGCAUUUACAUUUCAGGUUCACGUUUUUGUUGUUGUUUUAAAGUGAUUACUAAGGGAGAGAGGGAGCAUAAAUGUCUUUUUUUUCUGCUAUCUCAAAGAUUGAAGCUGAUACUUUAUUAGAAGAUAUACUCUGCUUGUCUUGUCCUCUGCUUCUCACAAACAUGUUGUCUCUGCUCUAGUCCAGCAAUGUUCAGUACAGCUUCUACAAUGAUGGAAAUGUUCUCUAUAUGCGCUGUCCACUAUAGAUAGCUGACAGUCCCAUGUGGCUACUGAACACUUGGAAUGUGGCCAGUGUGAUGGUAGAAUGGAAUUUUAAAUCUUAUUUAAAUUAAUUUAUUUAAAAUUAAUCAGCUAAACCCUAGUUCUUUAGGUUUCCCUAAAUGUGUGUGCUUUUAGAAGGCAUAUAUCUAAGGUUAAUUUUUUCCUUCUACCUGUCAUAUCUUUUCCCUAUAGCAAAGAUCAUAGAACCCACAACUGCUUGAAAGUAAAAGGAAAAAUGCUAGGAAGAAAAGAAGUAGGCCAACAUCUCAGAAAUCUUAUCCUCCAUUAACUGGCAUCUGAAUUUCCUGUUUUGAUGAAGUCAAAGGCCAAGAAUUAGUUGGAGGCAUCCGGCAGCUUAUCUGGAUCCAGAUGUGCAGCACCUUUUAGUCUCAGCUAUCACCUUUGAUACCUAAGGCAAAUGCCAAUGCAGCAUUCUUUAGAAUUUCUAAUUAGCUAUGAAGAAAAAAAAAUUAUGGCUGGGCUCCUAGGUCUACAGGGGCACAAAACAAAGAGGAGAUAAGAUAUGGAGGAUUAAAUGUGUUCUUAGUCCCAGGGAGUGGAUGUCCCAUAAAACCUCCAUGCCUUGGCCACCACUUAUAUCUCCAGCGUCUUGCAAAUUCUCCUUUUGUUCUUUGUGAUCUGGACUCCUCUCAGACUCCAAGAAUGUGCUGUGUCCCUGCUCACUACAGUACUUGUACAUAUCUUGUUCCCUAUGUUCAGAAGCCCCGCUAUCCCUUUGCCAUCUUUCACUUUUAACCUCUACUCAUUCCUCAAAUCAAGAAUAUUUUCCUCAAGGAAGCCUUCUUUGACUCCUUAAUCUAGGUCACUUGCACCUUGAUCAGUAAAGUGAUUUAGAUAUCUUCCCCAGAGAGGUCACAGUAUUUUUGAAUUAGAACCACAGUUGGGAAUACAUUAGCUCCCACUCUCCAUCCCUAAGAUGCAUAGAUGUAUAGUGUUUAUCUUUUUAAGGUUCUUGAAUGAAUGGUCUGUUUUCAGAGUGGUCAUCCAGAAGCAUAGGAUGAAACUUCCUAUUUGCAUCCUGUGCUGUGAACUAUUGCCUUGAUGCAAAGAAAUUAUAUAGGUCCUCCUCUCAGGUAUCAAUAAGACAUUGAGCCCACCCUCUAGGUGAUUUGCAACUGGACCUCCAGGCUUUUUAGUUGUAACGUAAAAAAUGGAUAACUAUUUUCAUUCAUAGAACUCACAGGGUUUUAAACAUAGACAUUUUCUAGAAAUGCAAGGUGGAAUCAUAACAAAUCAUGGUAAAAUUUUUUUGAAGGGGGAAAUGUAGUGCUUUUACCUAAUGAAUAAAAUUACUUUCCAGUUUGCUGACCUACAAAGUACGUUCAUUGCUCUCUACCAAUUUAGUGCUUUGCAAUUAAUGGAGGUAGGGCUGGAUAGUGGAUGAACUGAAAGAAAGAGAAUGAAAAAAAGGAAAAAUAAGAGAGAGAGAUUGGUUUAGUAUAGAGUGAAGGAAAUCCCUAAGACUAAUUUUCUCAAUACAAGAGAGCUUGUAAAAGCAAUUUCCCCCUUUCAGAAACUACACUGAUUAUGCUGAGUCAGGCAAAUGCUAGGUUAAUAUCUAAGCUGUUUUGUUCUGUUGUCUGGGAGGCUCAUAGAAUUAUUUAUUGACAAAGGGGACUUACUGACCAAAUAACAUGACUUCUUUGAGUUUUCCAAUAUAUCUGGAGUGAGUUGUUCAUUAGCAAGGACUAGUGUGAAAGGCCACUAAUUGUUACUUCCUAAUUGGAGUUAACUCAGGCUAGAUUAGGGGAAAGGAGGAUAAUGAGAAGUCAGCUGGGAUAUUAGGCUAUUUCUAAAUGAUGUGAGUCAAAUCAGCUUUAUGUUUUCCUUACAAUAAGACUCAAUUUAAUUUUAAAUUUAUAAAUGCACUAAAAUUUCCUGCACUUUGGUUGUACAAUGAUUUAUAUUAACUUACCAGGAACAGAUCCACAAAAAGAUCCAAAUGUCAAUAACGUUAUCAACCCAUAAAUGUGGAAUUCUCAACUCCUUCACGUAGGUGGUGACCCAGAGGAAAGUAGCACUGGAAGGGGUACCUAUUUACAGAUGGGAACGUGGUCUGAGAGUCCUUAGAGAUGACUAAUAUAAAUCAGUCAUGUAAUUGUUCCAAAGUAGCCUGAAAAUAAAAUGAAAUUCAGAUGAAGUCAUUAUGCAGGCCUAACAGCCUUCUGAGAGUCAAGGCCUGAGGCUAAGAAAAUAAAAAUGGACCUUAUUUGUAUUUAACCAACAAAUGAAUUAAUUAGCUCCUUAAAAAGCUUUAAAAAUGUCAUAUUUAAGUAGUCUUGCUCAGUUAGAUUGGAGAGGCUACUUUUGUGAGUCAAUCACCAUCAAUAUCCAGUGAAAGUGGUGGUUCGGUAUAGUACACAUAGAAUUUUUUUCUAUUUCUUUCUCUUCACCUGCCUGAGCACUUGCUGUCCUAUGUUCUUCAGUGAAGGAUACAUAAUCAUAUGGCUAGGUGUGGCUUCUCUUUUUUGGGUGAUCAGUGGCCCCUUAUUUGAUGGCUUUGGCAGAGGAGUGAUGGAAAAACCUAACAUUGGUGAUCUCAAAGAGCUGGGCAAAAAAGCUCACAAACUCACAGGAGGGAUCUCCGAGAGUCUCUUGGUCUGACUCAGAAAUAUGAACUUGGUCAUUUAUUGUCGCAGAUGCAAUGUCAUUAACAUGUGUCAAUAAGAUAGCAUACCCACAAGAUAGGAUUUCUUUGUUUUAAUUGUGAAUUUUGCUACAAGAGCAGAGAAUGAUACUCCCAAGUAAUGUACCUUGAACUAAAGAUUUGUUCUUAUGUUGAACUAAAAUUUACAGUAAGUCUAACAUAUGUAAUGAAAUUUAUAAACACUUUGGUAUCACCUUAUAAAUAAGCAUAGAUUGAAAGCUUUGUGCAUCUCACCUUUGAAUCUGAGGGUCUGUGUGGCUGUGUUCUGAUACCCUUGCCUUCUCUCAGGCUCAGAGAAGGUAACCUUUUUGCCUGAGAAUACAGUGCUAGUAAAGAUUCACACCUCUUCUCUUGAGUUUGGAAAUACAUGUUUGUAAUUACAAUAUAAGAUUUUUGCCCUUUGGAUGGGACAUUGAAUGAGAAUUUCUAUAAUUCUUUUAAAAUCUAAUAAUAAAAUUGCAAUAAUUUUAUAUGAAUUUUUAUUGUGUAAGUUUCUCUUCAGAAACCACAAAAUUCUCCCAGUAACCUGUUUUGUUUCAUCCUCACUUCUGACAUUGCUACCACCCAGGAAUACUCAAAUGUAUUUUAUUUUGGUAAAAUAUUUAUAUUAUUCGCAAUGGUGGUUACUUUGACCUCAACCACUUUUUUUUUUUACAACUUGAAAUGUGAACUCUUUUUUCUUUCAGCAUUAAAAAUCCAUCUUACAAAUCUCCUCUUCAGAGUCUCUACCCCAAGUGAGUGUUUUGAGCAGAUCUCAUGCUCCCCUUUUCUUCUCUCCCACCUUAAUCUAUAGAUUUUUCAGGAUGCUGGAGCAUUUAAAGUAGAGGAAAAGUGGUGUGGUGAGGUGAGAAGUAGAGAAGUUACCACAUAAAGACUCAAAGCAAGGGAAGAAGAAAGAUGCCAGGCAGGGAUGGAACCAGAGGAGGGGAGAGCUAACACGAAACGGGAGAGCUGGAGAAUGUGGGGCCUGACGAUGGGAGAGGAGUGAGGAGUUCAGGUUUGUUCCAGGAAAGGAUUUAGGGAGACUCACUUUGUGGUUCAGCUUAUUUGGUUCUCUAGAAGAAGCAAAGUGCACAUAUUUUGUGUGUUUUUUUGGAGUCAGGAAAGAAUGCCUUACUUCUCAGCAGCAGUACUUUCUCCCGCCAUCCCCCUCCUCAUCCCCAUCCUAGAUCCUUUUAAAAGAAACCAAAGAUUUUCAUUUCACAAAGGUAAAAGUCCCAAACUCACUGGGAAGAGUUAACAUGGACGGGAAGGUAAAUGUAGGCAUCAGAUCCUUUCUGGUUUUGAUAGAGGCUGGGAUCUCUGGGAACCAAAUAGUACAGGUCUCCUGAAGUGAGGGGGCUGGAGCAGAAAGGGUAAGACUGGUUAUCAAAGACAAAACCCUGAUUUUAUGAUUUGCUUGUGCGUGUGGUGGGGAGAGGCUCAAGUAUUACUUUCAUACCACCACUGAUUUAUUUUCCUCUAGAAACAUGCGAAAAAGAAAAAAAGGAAAAGAAAAAAGAAAAGGAAAGAAAACCUUUUCUGGUCAAAUGGUGCACAAACAUUCUAGCUAUUUGAUUGCUGGUUUAUAGAAUGUAGCUGACAGAAUGGCAUGAGAUUUAGAGUCUGUGUUAACCUGAAACCAAGCAUAGAUGAUCAUCCUGGUUUUUGGUGCAGGUUUCUAGACAGAAACGGCAGGCCUAACAGUGCUGGUACCUAAGGCAGGCAAGAGACAAAGAAGCUACUUCUAACUUUUUGUUAGAACUUGCCUUGUUUGGUUUCUGCUGAAGAAUGACAUUUUGAGUUUCCUCAGGAAAUGUCAUACUACUGUGGGUUUUGUUUUGUUUUGUUUUGCAAAUGCUUAGGAUGUGCAAACAUGAGACAGCAGCGGGUCCUUCUGGUUCCUGAUUGUAACACAUCCUGGGCAACCAGGCAAAGCAUUGUGGCUACUGUGGCAUCAUGGUCACAUCCUUCUUUAAAUAGCUUCCGUUCCUGUUUCACGGGAUUGGAAACGAACUCAAUUUGAAUACUUCAGGCACAGCAAGUGGGAAGUGGUAAAUUAAGAAAAAUAAAUCAUGAUGAUAAUGAAUUUAUUCAGCUGUGAGCCUAGCUCUGGAGAGAGUUGUGGGUUAUGGAGUGCCUAAUACCUGAGACUGUGAUUUAAUUAAAAUGUUUAACUUUUUAUUUUGAAAUAAUUCUAGACUUACAAGAAUGUGGCAAAAAUGGUGUGAAGAAUUCCUGUAUGCCCUUUACCUAUCUUCUCAAAAUUAUAUAAUUCACAUUGAUUAAUUCAAUUUAGUCCUCGUCAGAUCUUAUUUGGAUUUGCUGAUUGUCUCUGGUCCAGUAUCUAGUCCAGGAUUGUACCUCACAUAUAGUUGCUGAAUAAUGACUUUUAAAGAUUGUUGUACCACCUACACUUUAAAAAAAAAAUUAGGAACCUUUACUAUAAUGAUGUCAUAAUUUCAAGACUAGUUGAGUAAAAAUGUCCAAGCCUGUUGAUUGUGAAUUUGAAUAACUGCUCUGAUGUACUCAUUCUAGGUACAAUAGCAAGAAAAAAAGUCAGAAUUUCCCCAACCACAUUUACUUCUCACCCAUUUUAAAUGGGAAGUGUUGUUAAUAGUCUUAGAAGCAUUUUGCAAGGCCAGCACUUCCCAUGGUCAUUGGGGUCAGAAGCCAAAUUAGAAUUGUCUCCUAUUUUUAAUCCAAUUGACAUGAGUUCCAAUAUUAUUACCUGAUUUCUAUCUUUAGCCAAAGUUAGCCAAAAUUUAUGCAAAAAGCUUUUUAAUCAUUUUUGCUUUGACAUACCAACUGUUGAAUUCUUACCCUAAAGCAAUAUACUUGUGAUUUUUUGAUGCCAAUUUUGUCAAUAUCACCGAAUAGUUAAUAUUUUGAAAAGUAGAUGAAUGGUUCCAGCCUCAAAGAGCUUAACUCAUAGAAAGAGUACAUAUUUUUCUAAAAAUAUAAAAAGGCGUGCAUAUUAGAUUUAUAUAUAUUUUUAUAUAAAUCAUAUAUGUACAUGAUUUAUCAUAAGGAAUUGGCUCCCAAGGCUGUGGAGUCCUAAGAUGUGCAGCCAGCAAGCUGGAGACCCAGGAGAGAUGAUGUAUAGCUCUAGUCUGGGUCUGAACACUUGAGGACAAGGAGAGCAGAAGAUAUAAGUUCCAAUCCAAAAACUGGCAAGCUUGAGACCUAAGAAGAGCCGAUGUUUCAGAAGGCCCGAAAACCAUCAUGUCCCAGCUUCAGUAGUCAUGGAGGAAGAGUUUCUUCUUUCCCAGUCUUUUGUUCUAUUCAGGUGUUCAAUAGAUUGGUUGAGGCCCAUUCAUGUUAGGGAGAGCAAUCUGCUUCGCUCAGUCUACUGAUCUAAUCCAGUCUACUAAUCUUAUCCAGAAACACAUCUUUACAGAGAGAACAAUGUUUGACCAGAUGUUGGGCAUCCUGUGACCCACUCAAGUUGACACAUAAAAUUAGCUAUCGCAGUGUAGAAUUAGUAUAGGAAUAUGGAACAGGGAGGCCAUUGUGGGUUGGAGUAGUGAACUUGACCUGAGUCUUAAAGUGUGGGCAGUAUCAGACAGUGGAAGUGCUUGGAGGUAGGAGAAGAGUUUGAGUAAAUAGAAGAUGUUUAAAAAACAACAGACAAACACAAAAAACAUCAGGAAAACAGAAAUAAGGCAGCAAGUAUCAUCUGUUAUACAGUGCAAUUUCAGAAUGAUUAACUGAAACAUGAUGUGAGUUAAUGUUAGGGUACCCUGCUAAGCUCUACCCUGAGAAAUGAACUAAAAAGACUGAAGAUUUUGAAGGUCAGUCUGGUAGAAGUAUUAGUAUGAAUUUGAGUGGACUGAGGAAUAGAAACUGGUUAGGAGGCAGCUAUAAAAACAAUUCAAGCAAGGGGCAUCUGGUGGUUCAGUCGGUUAAGUGUCCGACUUCACUUCAGGUAAUGAUCCCACGGUUUGUGAGUUUGAGCCCUGCAUUGGGCUCUGUCCUGACAGUUCAGAGCCUGGAGCUUGCUUUGGAUUUUGUGUCUCUCUCUCUCUGCCCCUCUGCUGCUCAUGAUCUGUCUGUCUGUCUCUCUCUCUCUUAAAAGUAAAUAAACAUUAAAAAAAAUAAUUCAGGUGAGGGAUGAUAAUAUCUUAGAAGGGAAGACGGUGACUAAGGAAAAAAAAGAAAUCUAAGAAAAAUUAGCAGCAAAUGGAAUAAAGAAGAAAAGGGGAAAAAAGGAGCCCCAAAUCCUAAUUCCCACUAUUUACUUAUUGUUUACUGUGUACUAGAGGCAGGUGCUAAGACUUUAACCUCAAUUACAUUGCAAUCACCUUUGUCAAGUGUCCCUAGUCUCUACAGAGUAAAACCUAAACUCUUAGUUGCAUGGCACACAGCCCUUUGUGUGUAGACUUUGUUUAACUGGUUAAACUCAUCUCUGUCCAGUAAGUCAGUAGGUUUCAACCUUUGGAUUUAUUUGUAGUUACAUGCACUGGGUAACUUCUCUCAAGAUUCUGUUUCUUUGCUAUUAUGGAAACUUCUGGUUUAUUCCCUUGAAAAGUUACUUACCUUUCCAAAUUGAGUGUAAAUGCUACCUUCUGUGGAAUGCCUUUACUUCAUCUUCUGGCUGGCUGACAUGUUUUGGGGCCCUUACCUGACUCACUGGAUCGCUGGAUACUUGGAAGAGGGAGGUUGUACUUUUUAUAUUGUAUUCUCAGAUUCUAACAAUGUCAAGGAAAGUAGAGUUUGUUUAGGUUAACUUUUUCCCUGCCUCAUGCUUGCUUGUACAAAUAGUGCAGAAGGACAGCAGCCCUCAGACUCACACCAGUCCUUCCCUCCUCACAAUGGCAGACAUAGCACUCUACACUGGAGGCGUCAUGGGUGCCUUUGGGAGCUGGAGCUGCAGCCUCAGCCUGAGUCUUGUUUUGAGCCUUAGCCUUGGCCUUUGGAUGGCAGAAACUGAGACCCUCAGCAGUGUGGAGAUGAGCACAUUUCCUUAGCUUGGGCUGGGCAAUAUAGGCAAGUUGAUGGAGCUUGUGGCUGAUGCCUUUGGGGAUCUUGGGCUUGCCUUCCUAGGACUUCAGGAGGGCCUUGAUAGCCUGGGCAUGUGUACUUAUGGUCUUGGCUUUGCUGGCCUGUAUUUUCUUCAGGUCCUUCUUGUGUUUCUAGACAAAGUGGAAGUUUCUCAGGAACUCAGGGUCCACAACCUUAAAAGACCCGUAUCUUUGUGAUUGGGUUUUCUUGACACCAUUUCUGUGCCAUUUUUGGGACUGGUUGUGAGUGAUGUGUUCUUGGAUUUGGCCAUAUUUGCAUUGAAGCUCAUGGCUCCUGAAGGGACUGGGAUCAGAAGAGAAAAAGUAAAUAAAUAUUGUUGAUGAAUGAAUGAAUGAUUGAAUGAAUGAUGAGAAUAUGGUUCAGUAUUACACCACUAAUGUAAAUGAUUAGUUAAAUGAUUUAGCACAUUGAUUGCUUACCCUCUUUCUCCCAUUUGUUUUUUCCAGUGUCUAGAAAUCAUCUUCCCUUUUGCUAUCACUCUUCUCUUGUUAAUACAUGCUAUCCAGAAUGACUGUAUGACCGACUAAAAAUAGCUCCCCUGUUGCUGCUUCACUGUCAACCUGGACAAAUUCUUCUCUCCUGCUUCCAUCUUUUAGUGGGCAUUGAAGAUUGAGAAUUUCUUACCAUUUGAAGACUUUUUGCUAGGGAAGAGCUUAUUUUAAAAUCUCUUAAUAAUGCAUUAUAAGGAGAUGGCGAUUUUGCAGAAAUCAGAACAGAUUUUCUCUAUCCUUUGCAUAAUAGUUGUCAUUUAUUGAACUCCUGCAUGUCAGGUGAUUUCAUUUUUAUUUAUUUCACAGAUAUUUAUUGAGCACAUACAGAGGCCAAAUACUGCUUUGAGUGCUAAGUUUUUUUUUAGUGCAGUAAAAAAUGGACAAAAAUGUACACAUAUCACAUAUUUUGUAAUAUGGGUUGGUUUGAGUCAUGUAAUUGGAAUCAUGUAAUCCUUACAACUGCUCUUCAAGACAGGUUUUAUUUUCCCUGUUUUAUAAAGAAGAUAAAGAAACAUUAAGAAGAGAGCUUAAGUCACUCAUUCAUGAUCUCAUGGUUAGUGACUUUCAAACUGAGAUUUGGGUCUAGGACUAUCUUCCUCCAUAGCUAAUCCAUGUGUCUCCUUAGUAUGACAUUGUGGAGAAUCUCAGAACUUAUGGUCAGAAGACAUGGGGGGAAAAUCCCAGCUUAGUAACUCAACUCAGUAUGACUUUGGAUGUAUUUCGCAGACAUCUCUGAACCUCAGUUUCCUCAGCUAGGUAGUAAUAAGACUCUGACUUGAAGUGUUACUGUGAAGAGGAAAUAAAAUAUCCUAAAUGGAAACCCAUAGCCCGGUUCCUGGCACAAAAUAGACAUCCAGCAAAUGUUAGUUUCAUCUGAAUUACAAAUAAAAAGAAUAUUGUAGUUAUUUCCAGUGUCUGUGUGAUGAAUCAAAUUUCUCAGGUAAUCUCUCUCCUCAUAUUUUAUUUUCUGAAUAACACCUGGGUUUAUAAGUUGAAUUAAUGAAGGAACUCAGUGGGAGGGCAGGGAGAUGGUGAAAAUAUUUGCAGAGAUUGAUUCAGCUUCCUAGGCAAUGAAGCAGUGGUCUUCUAAAUGAUCUAUGUUCUUAAAGUGGCCCUUGGAUGGUCCCGAGGCUGCUGGGUGCUAAGUAACCCUCCACCCUGCUCCUUCCUCCACAGAGCUGUCACACCUUCUGGUCCUCUCUUGCUGAUUGUCUUCUCUGCCACAGCAUCUGCAGUUGAGAACACCCACCACUGAUAAUUAUGUAGUGCCUUUGCUGCUGCUACUGCCAUGGCCACUAUCACUGCAGAUCCCUGAAACAUUGAUGAAAAUGCGAAAACAUUGUUCUGGGAGUCAGGGUAGUGAUGUGACUAAUGGGAAAGUCACUCAGUGCCUCUAGAUUCCUGUUUCCUGAAAAAUAAGAUUAGAGGAGAUGAUUUCUCAGAUUUCUUCCAGUUCUCUAAUUCUACGAUUGUUCUCUUUCCAUAUCUUAUUCUUGCUUCUUCUGCAUUUUGUUCGUUCUCCUACCUGCUUUAAGUUCUGCUGAAAAAAGUGCUUUGCUGAGAAUGGCUGUGGGUAACAGCUCAUCUUUCUUCCCCCAGAGCAAGUGGACCAAUCUGUGUGUCAAAGAAACACCCUCCCUCCCUGGCCAGGCCCUCCAGAAUCACAUCAUUGUUUUUUAACGUGCCAUCUAUUGCUAGGUGUGUGGGGUUUGAUUAGCCACAAAGAGGUUCUUUUUUGGGUGUUGAAUAAUUUUCUCAAGUUUUUUUGAGGCUUAAGGGUUCUAUAAGAUUACUGUCUAGAAGGAUAUGGCUUCACUAUAAUGACAAUAAUAGACAAAAUACCUUUCAAAGUGUUUUUCAUGUAUUUCAUUCUACUUUACAAAAUGAAAAGUUACUUGUAGAAAAAAAAGGAUAACAUGAUACAUUCAUUCUCUACAGAACUGCAAAGGCAUUUAUCUCAAGCUUCCACAGAAAAAUUUUAAAACUGUUAGUGGGAUCCUCUUACUCCCUGAAGUUGUUAACUCAGCCCACAAACUGUACUCAACUGAAUUUUUAAAAUGCCUAUAAAAGUUUUUUAAAAAUUGACCAUAUGAGACAUUUAAAGUGUGAUCUUAUUUAUGAUGUAUUAUCUAUUUUUUCAUCACAUAUUAGCAGAAUUUCAUUUUUUUUUUUUAGAUUAGCAUGUUAAAUGCACACAAACAGAAAUAGGUAAUAAAGGCCAGAGUGUCUGUCUUCUGUGGUAAGCAUAUCAAAGUUGACAAAAGGAUCUCGACUGUCAAGGAUCAUUUAAAACCAAUGAAUUAAAAAUCAGGAGGUCAGGGAGAGCCGUGCAGAGAUGAUAAGGCUCUCUGUAUUUGUCUUCACAAGGGAAGUAUUAAACCAGAGUGAUUUUCUUCUUCAUUCUCUACUCCCCCCCUCCACCAGGGAGAAAUGUGAAACUCAAUUUUACCCUUGGUUGAGAAGGUGCUAAUUUGUCUGACAAGUUGUUGGAAUCUGAGGAUGCUCAAGGUAUCCUUGAUGUCUCAAACCUUCAUGCUGAGUGAAGCAUGCCUCUAAUGUGUCAAUGUUUAGGAGGUAUUCUAUAUCUCAUUAGGUUAGAACAAUAUAAACCACAUGCAUGCAAAUGGGGCAGGAACUUGUCCCCUGUCAAAGGGAAAACCUUCAACUUUUUAUAAUCAAGGCAUUUUUUGAAUCACCCUCAUUCAAGUAAAUAUUUAACCAGAAAUUAAGUAUUCUUUUAUAUCCUAGAGGAUUUAAAUGAACUUUCUCUCCCAUUUGCUGCCUGUUUCUUGAGAGGCGUGAUCUUCAAAUCUUUCCCUUUAUUGAUUACAGUAUCAGUUAGUAUUUAUCAAGAAGGCUCCUAAGAGAGAUGGCAAUGUAAAUAUGAAAACUUUAAUUCCUUUUCUUUUUAAUUGUGUAUUCAUUGAUUUUUUUUCAUACACUUUCUAAAGCCAAGAAUUAGCUAUGUGAGUGACCUUUGCAUGUUAACUAAAUCCUGGUUGGUAAACUGAUUCAUUAUUAAGAGAAAAGUCCUGUUGGUGAAAGAGACUUUUCCUAGCACAUAAUUCACCCAACAUUGCAUGGCUGAUGAUAAUAGCUAACACUCACAUAACUCUUAUUAUGGGCUAGGCACUUUUCUAAGUGUUUUUACUCAUAUUAACUCAAGGAAUCCUCAUAAUAACCUGUGAGGUGGGUAUUAUUAUUUUAGCUUUACAGAAGUUGAAAAGCAAUGGCAAAAAUUGCCUAGCUAUAACAUAAUGGAGUCAAAUUCAAACUCACACUGUCUGGCUUCAGGGUCCAGCUCCUAACUCCUAUGCGAGACUGCUUUUUCUCAUAUGUAGAACUCCAUUCAGGAGUGAUAAAGUAUGCUGGAUAAGACUGCCAUUUUGCAGUGAAGGGAAAAUGCCACUGGAAUCAAUAAAACCUUCCACAGGAUCUGCUUAUAGCUGUUUUUCAUUAUUUGUUUGUUUGUUUAUUUAUUUAUGAGAGGGAGCAUGCACAUGUGAAUGGGAGAGGGAUAGAGGGAGAGGGAGAGAGAGAAUAUUAAGCAGCCUCUAUGCCCAGCAUGGAGCCUGGUCUUACAACCCACAACCGUGAGAUCAUGACCUGAGCUGAAAUCAAGAGUCAGGCACUUAACCAGCUGUACCACCAGGUACCCAUGUAGCUGUUUUUUUUAAAGGAUAAUAUUUUGAAAUAAUUUUUAAUAUUUGCAAUAACAUUUAACAUUUACUUGUUACUUUUUAACCAGCAGUGUAUAUUAUAUAAAGAUUGAGCUCCUGAAACACUCCUAGCAUAAGAGCUAUUAUUUAUUGAGUCUCUACUAUGUGUGAGACAUUUUACAUUCAUCUUACCUUCAAAAUAAUUUAUGUGGGUAUUAUUUUUUAUAUUUUGCGUAGAAGAAUAUGAGAUUUAGGGAGGUUAAGUAAUAUGCCCAAGGCUCCAUGUUAUACAAAGUGCUGGCUGUUUCUCAGUAUUCACUGUUUACUACUUCAUCAGUAAUAAACCUUCCUGACUAUUAGCUAUUAUAAGAAUACCUGAGGGGCAUCUGGGUGGCUCAGUCGGUUAAGCAUCCAACUUUGGCUCAGGUCAUGAUCUUGCGGUUCGUGAGUUUGAGCCCUACUGCUGAUAGCUCAGAGCCUGGAUCCUGCUUUGGAUUCUGAGUCUCCCUCUCUCUUUGCUCCUCCACUACUAAUGCUCUGUCUGUCUGUUUCUCUCUCUCUAAAAAACAAAUAAACAUCAAAAAAAGAAUGCCUGGAAUGAAGACUACUUUUAAGUAUUCCUUGCAGCUAGGUGUUACCAUGAGAUUAAGUUCUGGCCAAUAAGAUGUAGGCAAAUAUGUGUGACUUCUGAAAAGUGUCCUUAAAAGUGAGUGUGUAUCUUUACCCUACACUCCUGCCCCCUCUUCUUCUCUCUGAUGGCAGGAACAUAGAUAUGAUGGAUGGUGCUCCAACAGCCAUUUUAGGCUGUGAGGAGCAAUCAUUGCUAAGAACUGAAAAAAUCUUGACAGCGUCGAUUCUACCUAGGACCACUAGUACAUCAGUGUUUCUCAGACUCUCAUGUGCAUUCAGAUCACCUAGAGGUGUUAUUAAAAUGUAGAUUCUGAUGCAAUAGGUCUGGGGUGGGGUCUCAGAAUUUGCAUUUCAUUUUUUUAAAAUUAAGUUUUCAUUUUAAUUCUGGUAUCGUUAGCAUACAGUGUUAUAUUAGUUUGGGUGUACGAUAUAAUGAUUCAGCAAUUCCGUAUAUCACUCAGUGCUCAUCGUGACAUGUGUACUCCUUAAUCACCAUCACCUGUCUAACCCGUCCCCCCCCCCCCGCCCCCACCUACCCUGUGGUGACCAUCAGUUUGUUCUCUAUAGUUAAGAGUUUGUUUCUUGGUGUGGUGCCCUCUUUAUCUGUCUCUUUUUCCUUUGCUUGUUUGUUUUGUAUCUUAAAUUUCACAUAUGAGUGAAGUCAUAUGGUAUUUAUCUUUCUCUGACUUAUUUCACUUAGCAUUAUACUCUCUAACUCCAUCCAUGUUGUUGCAAAUGGCAAGAUUUCAUUAUUCUUUAUGGCUGAAUAAUAUUCCAUUGUAUAUAUUUAAAAAUAAAAAUAAAUAUAUAUAUACAUGUAUAUAAAUAUAUACAUACAUGUCACAUCUUCUUUAUCCAUUCAUCUAUGGAUGGACACUUGGGCUGCUUCCAAAUAAUGCUGUUAUAAAUAAUGGUUGUAAAUAAUGAUGCUAUAAACACAGGGAUACAUAUGUUCCUUUGAAUUCAGAAUUUGCACUUCUAAUAAGAUUCUAGGUGAUGCUAAUGGUGCUUGCUGGUCCAUGGGCCACACUUUGAUUAGUAAGGUAAUAAGAGAUAGCAUCAGAAUUAGUACCUAGGGUUUUCAGAUACCAAAGCCCAUGCUCUUUUCUUUAUGUCUGGCAGCCUCCUUUAACAUUUUUGCUUUUGUAGUUCCUCCUUAUGGCCAAACUAUCAUGACCAUAGUAUAAACAUAUUAAUGCCUUAAUGACCUGUCUCCUUGGCAACUUCAGGAUAAAAUGUAGGUUCUCCAUGUAGAACAUAAUUGCUUGAUUCAGGUGAGGUUGGCAUGGAGUGAAAACUAAAGGGAAGGUGGCAGGGUUCAUGUACUAAUUUCAGUUUAUUCAGUGAUUCAGUUGAGCAUGUAGUUUAUUGACUUAUGGUUGAUUUUGAAGAGGACUAAAUGUCAUAUUGAGUUGACAGGAACAGUAAGAUCAUAGAAGAAAUCAGAGGUGCUUACCCUUGAUUGCAAAUUAGACUCUGCAGGAGAAUAUCUUAGAACUUCUGUUGCCCAGGCUGGAGCCCAGGCCAGACAGAACAGGGUCUCUGGGGUGGAUACCAGGCAUUAGUCUUUUCAGAUCUCUCCAGGUAAUUUCACUGUGUAGCUACAUUUACAAACCACCGACCUAAAUGGAAGUUUUCAUGAAAAACUCUAUACCUAUUUCAAAAAGCCUCAGCCAUUAAAAUAAAUAUCACAUGGUGUUUCUUGGAGUUUCUUUUGUCUGAAUCAAGAGUUAUAACAUAAGGGGUACCUGGGUGGCUCAGUUGGCUGAGCGUCUGAUUUCAGCUCAGGUCACGAUCUCAUGGUUUGUGAGUUUGAGCUCCACUUCGGGGGGCUGUGCUGACAGCUCAGAGCCUGGAAUCUCACAGCUCAGAGCCUGUAUCUCCCUCUCUCUCUGCCCCUCCCCCGCUCAUUCUCUCUCUCUCUCUCUCUCUCUCUCUCUCUCUCUCUCAAAAAUAAAUAAAAAUUUAAAAAAAGAGUUACAACAUAAUUACUUGAAUAUCUUAGUGCCUGAAGUGUAUAUUUACUAUGAAAGCAUAAGAAAUCCAUUGUUAAGGUAGUCACUAAGUUCAGGAGAUCUUCUAUAAUGAUCUAAAAGAUUCAGUAUAAACCAGGAGCAUCUCCUCAAACUUCAAUAGUUAUUCAAACCACUAUUCCUGAAAAAUUUGCAGUCCUUAUAUAUAUGCAGAGCACAUUUUUAUGUACAGGUACUCAGUAUUUUUCUUUUGCCCCUCCGGGUGCCUCCAUAACCCUUCUUUGCCCUGUGACUUAUACGGACUACUUCUGUGGUGCCCAUGCCCUCUGUCUUCUGGUUGGCUUAGGCCAAUGGGAAAUCCCACCCACCCACCCUAAGAUUUAAAGGAAAUUAAGACAUUUAUUCUCAUGGCUCCCUUCAAGGUUUUCUCACACUGGCUGUUUUCUUCCACUGAAGGUCAUUGCUGACUUCAAGGCCACCUUCUCUACUGAUUCUCUCACAUUUUGGGUCUCUCCUCUCCCUCUCCUCAAGCCUGUAAGCUGAGGGGAGGAAAGACUCCAUUACUACUGGUCCCAGAUUCCUGCAUCAUUCCUUGGGCUCCCUCUGUACUGCAUCCACAAGUUUGUAUAGUCUCUAUGAAAACAAACCCUCCUCAAAUCAACCCAUUAUGACUGUGCUGUUUGCUUCAUUGGACCCUGGACUGAUCCAGUGCUUGACAAACACUGAAGUGAGAAAAUCUGUCCUGAGAUCAUACCAGUGACAGAGACAAUGACUGGAAGACACUGGGUGCCAUGUCAUUAUAGUAUACACUAGAAUCCAGGUCUAAUGUGGAAAGUGUGUGCAACAGUUUUGAAUGGCAUGUUUGCCUCGGUUUUCACAGGUGAAUUGCAGGUUAAAUUCCGUAGCCUAUUUGCCAUUAUAUCAUUUAAUAAUAUUAAUUUAAGAAUGCCAUGAGAAUCAAAAUAUGCAUAGCAUCUUUAUUUAUUACUGCUCUCAGUUACAGUUUCGUCUGCGGUAUUUGCUGUUCUCCGUAUUUGCUCUGUGUUUUUCUCUUAGCUCACCCUCUUACCUCCUCUAAGAAUUCACAGUUUAGAUCGAAUGUUGUCUCUGCCAUGAAGUUUUCGCUGAUUUUUCCCAUCUGUUCUAUGAAAUCUAGCCCCUCAUCUCUAUGUCUUGUGGCACUUUCGACUUUACUUUGUAUCUCACACUCACCCCUUGAUCUUUGGCUGUCCUUGACCAAGCAACUGUAUUUUCCUCUCUUUUGUUUUUCUUAUCUAUAAAGUAAGGAUAACAAUAGUGCCUACCUAGGUGAAUGGUUAGGCUUGUGUUAGAUAAAGUAGGUAAGGCAUUUCAAUUAGUGUCUGGCACAUAAUGAGCAAUAAAUAUUAGCUGUUUUAUUAUAAUUAUACCGUUGUAAUGAAACUAUUUGGCACGUGCUAUUUUUCUGCAAUAUAGUUAAGGGACAGCGACAGAUUCACCUUUGUAUUCCCGGCACCAAGCAAAGAGGCAGACACAGAGUUGGUGGGUGGGUAGUUGGUUAGUUCAUGCAUGUGUUCAGCUAAUGAAAAGAAGGCAAUAUGGUACAGUGGGUAAGCUCAGGCUUAGAGAUAUAUUUCCUGGGUUGGAACUCUAGUUCUGUUUGUGUAGCUAUGAGCAAAGUAUUUAAUCUCAUUUUGCCUCAGCCAUCUCACCCAUGAAUGAGAUAAUAUAAUUCUACCUCAUAGGAUUCUUAAGGUUAAAUGAGAUAAUUAUGUAAAUCACCUAACACCAUGUCUAGAAUGUUGUAAGCAUUCAAGUAAAUAAUAAUAUUAUUUUAAAAAAUCAUAAGAUUAGAACAAAAGCAGUCCAGGGAGAAAAUUACAUAUGAAACAAAAAUGCUGUGGUUUAAUGAUUAUUGUAUUAAAGGCAUAACACAUUGAAAAACUUACAGUGAAAAAAUAUAUUCCUGAUAGAUAAGGAAAGCAUUUUGAGGUUGAGAGUUAUGUCAGGACAGGGUAUCCUUGUAUAAAACUGCUCUAGUGAUGUGAAAAAGAUUCAUACAGUCUAUCUCUUGCCAAAGGGUAUGUCAAAUAUGAGAUUUACACUUCCUAAGUGUUGUGGAUUGUGAUACAUGCCAUUUAUUUGCGUGUCAGUAACUCUAUAUUCAUUCCUAUAGAGGACCCAUUCACUUCUCGCUGACCUCCCCUUUCCACUCUGUACAUUCCUCAUUACCUACCAGAUGUGUACUCUGAUGUAUGGCCAAAAAUCUAGGUGAAUCAAGAGUGGCGGUAUAGAAUAGACAGCAGCCGCGUCUUGCAGUGAUUCAUUCUAAUUACACCAAAAUCUAACUAAUGGAGAAGUCAGUGCAGUUGGAAGAAGAGGAAUGUGGCUUCUCUUUCUGCCUGUUCUUUUCCAGAGACUGACCCUAGUGAACUGUUGGAACUUGAUAGCCAUAAUCAAUAGCUUGUAAAACAAUAAGGUCAGCAUUGUAAAGAUUCAGAUUUUCUGCUUCCAAAUGUAAUGGGAACAAGACUGGUGUGCUGAGCCAUUGAGGUGAGUCUGACCUUAGCUGACUGACUGAUAAAAGACCCCGAGCAGAGGAAGAGAUAAAAGAAUAACACGGGGGAAGAUGUAGUUGUAAAUAUAAUAUCAGCACAAUCCUUGUUUUUACUCUGGGAACAUGCUGAAUUGUUAUUUUGCUAUUAUAUUAAAGGUAGAAAAUCCCAGCUCUGGUAAAAAUAGCGGGUCAUUUAAGAAGGCUCAGAAAUGGGGCACCUAGAUAUUAUGUGUGACAUCUAGUUAAGGUGCCUCCAUCAGUAUGCUUCAAUUCAAGUUAUAUAUUUGAGUUAAUUCCAUUAAUUCACUUGCAUUUCCUAAGUACUAAGUUUACCCAACAUUAUUUUUUAAAUACCAGGGAUUAGUAUUGUUUAUCUCAGAAUUCUGACUGGAACUGGUAGUGGUUCAGAGGUCAGAUGUUUCUACAUUUAAAAUGCAUACUGAAGGAGUAUUAUAGGUCUGCAUAUUUCUGAAUCAGUCUGCUCUUGAUAUAGUAGGUAUUUCCGCAAAACACUUUAGAAUUUGAUGACAAAAUGUGGAGGAAAGAAAUUGCCUUGUGGGCUAAGUAAAUGCUUGUCUCCAAGUUAAGAAGUUGUUUCAAUCACAGGGCAGAUACAUACACAUAUGAGCUGAGAUUUGAAGUUCUGCACUAGCUACCAUCAGAAAAAAAGAAAGAAUUUUCUUAUAUUAAAAUAUCUUUAAAAGUUUUCUGAAAAUGUGUCAGUGGGUUAGAAAGAUGAUCAAAUAACCACCACCAGUUUUUCCCUUGGUGAUUUGUGAGCAGUUAGGGGCACCUGGGUGGCUCAGUUGGUUAAGCAUCUGACUUUGGCUCAGGUCAUGAUCUCGCGGUU